AGCGCCUUUAAUUCAGUCCCGUGAGACUGGCAAGGUAACGUGAAUCGAGGUUCGCGACUCUAGGAAGGUAUCCGUAUGACUAUACGGAAGUCUUUUCAUGUGCGCAGCCGUCAUCUUCUUCAUGUGUGGAUUCCACUCCUUGCCUGUUUCAGGCAAGGAGUUUUUUGU
Non-coding RNA from Bacillus sp. FJAT-27264, 168 nucleotides. Lineage: Bacteria; Bacillati; Bacillota; Bacilli; Caryophanales; Bacillaceae. The record is from Rfam.